AUUAAUGUAUAUACACAUACACAUGUGUAUAUGCAUGUGUAUGUUAGCUGCAAUUUUCACAUUGCAAGAUAAGUAGAUGUCUGCGUCUUUGCAAUAUACGGUACUUAACAUAAUUGCAUCAAAUGAACAUAAACAAAUUUUAAAUAUAACAAGACUAAAUGCUGCAGUCGACUUCUUUUACAACGAACAACAAAGGCAACAGAAAAAAUUAAAUGAGAGGAAGCAGUUAAAUGAGCGAAAUGCGGCGAAACUUUAUUAGCCUGCGUUGUGUUUUCGCUACAUUCUAUAGGCUACAAAGCUACAAAAGAGAGCUACGGCGAAUUCACAAUGAGCGUCGACGACGACAGCGGCAGCGGUGGUUGACGGCCACAAACCGAAGUUCGUUGAAAUUUCGAAUGUAUGAAAACGUUCAGUCUGCCGCCAGCGCGGGCCCGAGCGUUUAGCUCGAAAACGCGGCAGAGGGCCCAGCGAGAAUUAGCUGGGUCAACAAGGUGACUGGUGGUGGCAGAGCAAGAGCAGAGCAUAGCCGUACGAGUGCGUCUGUUUGCUUCUACUUCUGUAGGUAUACGCGCCUAUGUAUGUGAGCGCGCGCGCGACAAUGCGAUGUGCUCUGCUGUAUAUAUCGUUUGGCUAUUUUCCCCCUCCCAUUAUAAAAUACGAAAUUAUUUGAGGAAUGCGAAUGCGGCAAUGGCAACAGCGACACACGUAUACAUAGGCAAAUAUAAUGCUAAACGCACUACAGCUGGGGCUCUUUUAAAAAUAGCCAACGUGCUUUUGGGCGCAGAACAGUUAGACAGGCGGGCAUGCAGGCGAAUUGUCGGGCUGACGUCAUCUAGCGAACGCAAGGAUGAAUUGCGUAUAAUAUAUGCAAUGUUCCACACAGCUGUAGGUAAUAAAUUUGCCGCCUACUUAAGGACAGACGGACAGGAAAUGGCAUAUUCAUGCACACAUUCACACAUAAGUUCAUGAAUGUGUGUUUAAAGCGAAGACAAACAGGGCGGCACAUGUGUGGCAACGCUGGCAGUGAGAGCGUUCGUUUUUUGUGAUUGAACGAAACACAAUGGUGCGACUAGAUACAAUUGGUCGAAAUCUGUUUAGAUAUUGAUCUACACGUGAUGAUUGCCAGCCACAAACUAGUUAUGAAAUCAAGAGUCUAUGACGGCCACUAGCUGCUAGCGAGAGGAAGUAGAUACAGAGAGAGAGAGAGAGAGCGAAGAAAAAGUGUAAUUAAUUUUUUUUU
Drosophila hydei is the source of this 1240-nucleotide long non-coding RNA. RefSeq lists it as uncharacterized. NCBI's taxonomy places the organism in Eukaryota, Metazoa, Arthropoda, Insecta, Diptera, Drosophilidae. The record is from RefSeq and is a predicted model, not a curated record. The transcript is spliced from 3 exons.